UGUACCAGUAGCUCAGUUGGAUAGAGCAACGGUCUUCUAAACCGUUUGUCCCGGGUUCGAAUCCCGGCUGGUACAU
This 76-nucleotide transfer RNA is filed under the name Lacticaseibacillus casei. Its description in RNAcentral is "tRNA-Arg". It matches the Rfam family "tRNA". From Rfam's summary of the family: Transfer RNA (tRNA) molecules are approximately 80 nucleotides in length. Their secondary structure includes four short double-helical elements and three loops (D, anti-codon, and T loops). Further hydrogen bonds mediate the characteristic L-shaped molecular structure. tRNAs have two regions of fundamental functional importance: the anti-codon, which is responsible for specific mRNA codon recognition, and the 3' end, to which the tRNAs corresponding amino acid is attached (by aminoacyl-tRNA synthetases). tRNAs cope with the degeneracy of the genetic code in two manners: having more than one tRNA (with a specific anti-codon) for a particular amino acid; and 'wobble' base-pairing, i.e. permitting non-standard base-pairing at the 3rd anti-codon position. RNAcentral also lists the same sequence under 5 other names. The record is from RNAcentral. Lineage: Bacteria; Bacillati; Bacillota; Bacilli; Lactobacillales; Lactobacillaceae.